CGUGAAUUCAUCUCCGGGGGUAGAGCACUGUUUCGGCUAGGGGGCCAUCCCGGCUUACCAACCCGAUGCAAACUGCGAAUACCGGAGAAUGUUAUCACGGGAGACACACGGCGGGUGCUAACGUCCGUCGUGAAGAGGGAAACAACCCAGACCGCCAGCUAAGGUCCCAAAGUCAUGGUUAAGUGGGAAACGAUGUGGGAAGGCCCAGACAGCCAGGAUGUUGGCUUAGAAGCAGCCAUCAUUUAAAGAAAGCGUAAUAGCUCACUGGUCGAGUCGGCCUGCGCGGAAGAUGUAACGGGGCUAAACCAUGCACCGAAGCUGCGGCAGCGACGCUGAUGCGUUGUUGGGUAGGGGAGCGUUCUGUAAGCCUGUGAAGGUGGCCUGUGAGGGUUGCUGGAGGUAUCAGAAGUGCGAAUGCUGACAUAAGUAACGAUAAAGCGGGUGAAAAGCCCGCUCGCCGGAAGACCAAGGGUUCCUGUCCAACGUUAAUCGGGGCAGGGUGAGUCGACCCCUAAGGCGAGGCCGAAAGGCGUAGUCGAUGGGAAACGGGUUAAUAUUCCCGUACUUGGUGUUACUGCGAAGGGGGGACGGAGAAGGCUAUGUUGGCCGGGCGACGGUUGUCCCGGUUUAAGCGUGUAGGUGUGUGUUCCAGGUAAAUCCGGUUCACUUUAACACUGAGGCGUGAUGACGAGGCACUACGGUGCUGAAGCAACAAAUGCCCUGCUUCCAGGAAAAGCCUCUAAGCAUCAGGUAACAUCAAAUCGUACCCCAAACCGACACAGGUGGUCAGGUAGAGAAUACCAAGGCGCUUGAGAGAACUCGGGUGAAGGAACUAGGCAAAAUGGUGCCGUAACU
Molecule: ribosomal RNA, 855 nt
Filed under: Salmonella enterica
Lineage: Bacteria; Pseudomonadati; Pseudomonadota; Gammaproteobacteria; Enterobacterales; Enterobacteriaceae
Description: partial 23S ribosomal RNA
Rfam family: Bacterial large subunit ribosomal RNA
Source: RNAcentral